UUAAGGUUACUGACUUUUACCUUCUGACUGGGCUCGGAUGGCUGGGGCAUCAGAUAAAUAAAUCAGGUAAAGGUCAAAGCACGUCAAGUCAUCCAUGCCCCUCCCCACCUGCCCAUCACACUCUGUAUGGACGAAUUUAAGCCAUGUAGCCAUGCUCCACCAGUGCCAUUGGGAGAUACACAACCCCAGCAGGAUGAGCUCACACUGGGACAGCCAAUACAACACUGCAUAUCUGAGAGUGGUGUUAAACUUGGCAAGUGAGAAAAAAAGAGGGGGAGGAAUGAGAACAAACAGUGUGACUGACAGGGAGUGUGAAAGAAAAAAGAAAGACGAGCAAAAUGGAAGAACGCUGCAGUUCACAAUGCCGUCUGGCAAAGGACAUCUUCCAGAGAAAUAAAGUCACUCUUUUGGGGCAUCCUGCAUGUUCCCCUGAUCUAAAUACAGUGGAUGUCGUCCGUGAAGAAAUCUUCACCACCUGGAGCAACAUUCCCACGAGCCUCCUGGAAACACUGGCAGCCAGCAUUCUCUAACCAAUUUUUGAUGCGAUUAACAAGAAUGGUGCAUCUACUCAUUACUGAGUCCUUUUUUGAACAUUUUAUUUCUAUUUUGGGGGGCGUUCGGGGUUUGUCGAGGUAUGGUCUUAAAUUUUUGACCAGCCUAUUUUAAUGGUUGUUUGCAAUAAAUUGCUUAGUGUUGUGGAGAGAGCUAUCUGCUAGGACUUUAAAGCUAAACUUACCAUUCAAAAUAGCCUUUUCUUUGUUCAUUUCUGCUCAGUAUUUGUUCCCGCUUGCGGCUCCACAUCCACCACUGCGUUUCCUCAAACUACGUUGUGGGUUGUGGGUCAAACAGGACGUGCGCAUGUUAAUCACGCGUCAAAAAAAAAAAAGUGCUGUUAAAAGAAAUUCCCGUUAACGCAUUCACUUUGUCAGCCCUAAUAUGUAAAUGUUUUUUUUUUUUUUAUUAUAAACUGUUUUGGUUUUUUUUUAUGAUAAAUAUCAAAGGACAGCUGGGCAGCCCUGACGUAAAUAGGUAAAGACAAGUAUUAUUAUUAUUUAUUAAUAUUAUUAUUAUUAUCCAGUAUAUUAUAACAGUGGUUUAGUAGUAGUAGUUUAGUUUUGUCUCAAAAAGUGUUGACAAUAAUAUCAAAUUCAAAACACACCAGCAUUGUUUUGUGAUUUGGUUAAACAAAAAAAAAAAGGUUGUUUGUCCAGUCAUAUUUUUUCAUUGUACUUUUCUUAAAAUUUAUGUUAAAAUCUCGUUUUGACGAUCCGAUCUCAUGCAUCGUCUCGUCUUGGGUGAGUUGGGUGUUUCGUGACACCCCUAGUACAUAUAUAAAAACACAUAUGCUAUUGUCACACAGCUCUAACAUGCUACAACUACAUUCAAACAAUCCCAUUUUUAUUUAGAAAUAUUUCAACAAAAAGGGAUCUAAUUCAAAAUAGAAAAUGUAUGAUUAUACUAUAAUAAUGAACUACAUGUAUGCUCAUCACGUUUUAAUUGAAUACUGGGUCCCCUUCUCCCAAGCCACCUGGAAACAUUUAGAAAGUUGGCCAUAUGUCUCCACGGGGACUUGUGCAGAGGUUUCCCUGCUGACUGAUCAGUGUUGAGACAUCAUGUAGACACAGCAGAGAGACACAAAAACAACCCAGGUGGGCACCCAGAAAGUGAUAGAUUGAGACAAAGCCAGAAGGAAGUAAGGGAGGAAGAGCACGAGCAGACAGAGAAGAGAGAUGAAGGAGGGAGGGGUGGGUGUGAGUGAGAACGCGAUAGUCCACGUGACGUUGGCUCAGCCACUGCAGGCUGUUACGUAAGUACAACCCCUGCCCUCUCUCCUCAUGGACUGAGCAGACACUGCUUCUCUCCAAUCACUCUGCAGCCGCUACACAUUUUUUUUCCCCCCACUCUUCCGCUCACAUGUCUUCUCACAUGGCUGCCUCGCCGUCUUCCUCCUCGGUCUCUCUCUCUUUCCCCCCCACCAACUCAUUGCACCCCAGGGGAGCCACCAGCCUCUAAUGCUAAUGCUGUCACUCCGUCUCCCUCACCCUGUCUGUUUUUGUCUGUCUCUUUCUCAUUAUUUCCAUCAACUUCUUGCGCUCCCUCCCUUCUUCUGUGCGGCUGUGAGGCUGCAGCUCCACGCUCAGGGCUACAGGGAUAUGACAGAGAGGCCACAGAGACAUGCUUGAACACACACACCUACACAAACUGACAUUUACCCUGCUGCACUGUCUAGCUUCUUGAAUGCACUGGGCAACUUUUGACUAUCUACUUUGAAUCGGACCUAGUGUAAAAAAAAAAAAAAAAAAAGGCUCCAUCAGUAGUCUCGUUUAUAAAGUGGGAGAAAUAAUUAUUUGAUCCCUUGCUGAUUUUUGGUAAAUUUUAAGACAGAAUAUUAAUGUUAAUUUGCAUUCGAGUGAAAUAAGUGUUUCAUCCUCAAGUAAAACAUGACUUGGUACUUAGUAAAUGUCGUGUAGUCGGCAAUCACAGAGGCCAGAUGUGUCUUGUAGUUGGUCAUCAGGAGGGAUUUAGGUCCACUUCUCUUCACAAAGACUCUAAAUCUUGAAGGUUUUGAGGCUGUCUCUUGGCAACUUCAUUUCCCUCCACAUAUUUUCAAUGAAAUUAAGGUCUGGAGAAAGGCUAGGCCACAGCACGAUCUUAAAGUACUUAUCCAUUCACUUCUGAACAUUCAACCUUGUGGGCCAAAGUCAGAUUCUUAUAUACAGAGACUAUACAGAGAAUAGUAGCAAAUGUCAACACGAGUUUGUGUCCCGAAGAAAAUAUCAUCUGCCCUGAGAGGAGCAGCAGCAUCACACACACACACACACACACACACACACACACACACACACACACACACACACACACACACACACUUCCCUACAUCUAUGGUAAUCCUCUUGAAGGUGGUAACCAAGUGACUUUGGUGCUAACACUCUGACUUUCCAACCAAUGGUCAUAGCUUCUAUCAAUCACAUCGUUAUUUACUCCCCAAAACCCCUGGUUAAAAAAGCAAGACGGGUCCUCCUUUCACCCUCUGCAGUACUGAUUUGUUUGUCCAGAGCUCGCCCCUCAUUCUCCACCACCUCCCCUCGUCUCCCUCUCAGGCUGUGUCCUCAAGUGACUCUUUUCCUUAUGUAACUCAGAAAAGCCCACUGCAUACAAAUGAGGGAGUUUCUUGGCUGAGAGACAUGGGAGAGAAUAAGCGUUGCCAGUAGCAGCGUAGCACUGCCGGCACUUUCCAAACAAGGCUAAACCCAGAAGAAACCUUGAGAUACUUUCACCCCAUUACAAGGGUUUUGUGUCUGUGUGUCAACCACUCACCGACUCCUGAAACCAUUCCUUCUUGUCCAGCAUCUCUCGAAGUGUCUGCAGAAUCUUGAUGCAAAGCUUUUCCUCUUUGUCCAUAAGCUUCUUGGUGUGUUUGAUCAGCCUGUCAGAGCAAUCAUAAAUGGUUGUAUCAGAUGUUUGUGUACAGAGAGGCCAGAAAAAGAGUACAUUAGGUUUCAUGAUCCAUCAUACAAUUUCUGAACAAAACAAUUCAUGUCAGAAUGAACAAUGGUGGUAAUAGGUAUUUUCUCCCAAACCACCCAAUAUGUGUGUGCCUAUCCUCCAAUAGCAGUUUUGUAAUUCUUAUUUUGAUGGCAUAUGCUGUAUGUACAGCGGUACCUCGACUUUCGUUAUUCAUUAGUUUCAAAAUGUCAGACAAAAACCGACAAAACCCGAAGCAAAACUGGGGAGAUUCAAGGUUUGACUGUAUAUUUCUACAACAAUUCAAUACAUUAUGCAUACUGGAUAUAAACUACCAAAGUGUUGCAAUCAAAGGGUGGUCCCUGUAAAGCAAUUAUAAAAUCAAUACUGAACAAAGUCCAUCAGUGAGUCCAACAACUGAGCAAUUAAAUUGUUUCUCAAGCUUCCCCUUUCUAGGUACUGUACCAAUGUCACGACUAAUGGUACAGUUAUGUAAUGUCCUCAACUUGCAAAAAGAAACACACAUCCAUCUAUUUUCUAUGCCGCUUCUCCUCUUUAGGGUCACGGGGGCAUGCUGGAGCUUAUCCCAGCUGACUUCGGGCGACAGACAGGGUACACCCUGGACUGGUCGCCAGCCAAUGGCAGGGCACAUAUAGACAACCAUUCACACUCACAUUCAUACCUAUGGACAAUUUAGAGUCACCAAUGAACCUAACAUGCAUGUUUUUGGAAUGUGGGAGGAAACCGGAGUACUCGGAAAAAACCCAUGCACGCACGGGGAGAACAUGCAAACUCCACACAGAAAUGCCCAACAGAGAUUCGAACCCAGGUCUUCCCAAUCUCCUGACUUUGACGGUGUGGCCAACAUGCUAACCACUAGACCACUGUUCAGCCCCCAUUAUAUCUUGUGACAUCAUAUAUUAGCUACACAUUGUUAGCAACUUACUUUGACAUGAAAGCUCCACUCUCACAUCGUAGGCGAGCGGCCUCUGGAAACAGCAGCUCAGGGCUGUGGAGGACAUCGACCAACACCGAAAACUCCGCCUGAACCUUUGGACUGAAUUGCUCCUCUAGAUGGGACACGACUCCCUGCGCACGCACACACACACACACACACACACACACACACACACACACACACACACACACACGUAUACAAAGAAACACAGAUUAGUACAGUGGAACCUUGGUUGGCAUCAUUAAUCCGUUCCUGAAGACUCAACUCAAACCAAAACGGACUCUAACAGAAUACAUUUUCCCCAUAAGAAAUGUAAAUCCAAUUAAUGCGUUCAAGAAAGCCAAAAACGUCUAAUAGCAAGCUAAUAGGACAUUUUGUGAUAAAAAAUACAUUAAGCACACAGUUGGACUCACACAUUGUAUUAAUAACACGAUGUGUGCCAUAUUGUACGUUAACCGGAAAAUGUACGCAAACAGGCAAAUUGGGCAUUCGUUUUUUUACUUUAACUGAAAUUCCACUUUUGAUAUGGAGUGAAAACCAUAUUCGAUAUUUUACAUAUUUUUUUUUUAUGUUUCCUAUGCUGAAGUAACUCUUAGUUCAAUACAUCUGAUCAUUGUGUCCCAAACCGGGGGGGCCCUUGCACACUGCAGUAUUCCAAUUUCAAACAUUUUGUAAAGCGACACUGUCAGGUAAAACCUGUGCAUUGUCAAAUCAGAUACUACUGUUGAAGGGGGUGCGAGAAGGGAUGACAAUGUUUUCACUUGAUCUCUAUGCGACAAUUCAAUUCGGCGGAGUCUGAUUCUACUACCAACCUCUCAGUCGAAUCAUAUGAAAAUGUCAUGUGAUCAAGAUUGUACCAUUCUGACUACAUGGGGUGUGGCCACUGUGGGUUUUCUCUGGGUUUUCUGGCUUCCUCCAACAUUCCAAAAAUACAUUAUAUUAUAGGUAUUUGGGAAAGGUUAAAAAUGACCCCAAGAAAGUUAAGCGGUACUUGUUACAUUUCACACGACAACAACCAACUGACGUAUCAUUUAAAACAGGUAAGGCUGUUACACCAACUUCAUUUUAUAUCCCGACUGUGGAUUGCAAUCCAAGAGAUUAGGCUGCUCACUGAGUUUUGGCAAGUUGUUGUUUUUCAAACUAUGGUGUUUCUAUUUUAUGUGCUCUUUUCUGAUGUGUGAUAUGCUCACUUGCCGAAAGAGACUGUGAUUCGGAUUUGUUCAUCUCGCUUUUUGUGUCACUAAUUCAAUUAAAGGUACUGCUGUGCACACAUGCCAUGUUUACUUGUAUAUGUGAGUGUUUUAGCCUUUUUGUUUGAGGUGGAAAAAGUCACAAAUGAGAUCUGUUUAUUUGUAGGGAUCCCCAUUAGCUGUGCUAAAAAAAAACAUAUUACGAUUAGUGGGCUAUUGACAAAAUCUAACAAAUUACAAAAAAAAAAUCCUUAUUCGAAGAAAGCCUAAUUUUGUCCCACACGUCAAAAUUGUAUGACCUUUAGGGCAUUUAAUGCACUUUAUGUAGUAAAUUAAUACCUGCAACUUCUCAAUUAUAGUCUUGUAGUCAGGACCACCGAGGUUCUCCUUGCGGGGCCGGGUGCGGGCAGAGAUCCUCCAAUCCUUUGCUGCCCGCUGAACCAUGUUGCUAUGAGCCUUUAGAGAUAGGGUGUUGACCUGACUAUCCAGGUCAACCGGGAUAGCUAUUGCCCGUGCUUUGGCUGAGGAGACAUGGAGAAUUGGUGGGCUAAGUAACUGAGGAGGGAUGAGUGGAACUGAACCAUUCACGCAGGAAUAGUGAUUUUUAAAAAAACAAUACUGGGCAAAUAAAAACCAAAAAAUGCCAUUCUGUUUGUGAUGCUGUGCUGUUUUUGUAAUCAAUAGACUGACUGAGAGUAGCAUCACUUACCAACAUCAGCAAGAGUUUUGAUGCAGUUCUCAAUAUUUGCCUUCUGAGUGACCCAUGUGCAGCUGUAGAGCCUGAAAGCUGACUGGAGCAGCUUAAUGAAGAUAGAUUGGUUUGUCUGUGACAAAGUGAAGACAUGGAACCUCAGUCAGUGAACCCAUGGAUUAGAAAUUCAAGUAAUGCACAAAAUGUCAAGCAAAACACCUCAUGUAACUGCUUUAAACAAAGGGCAAUUUAAAUAAGAAUCACUGAAAGAGCCUCCCUUCAAAAACAGACACACAAACUAAAGUUUUAAUUGACACAAUUAAUCAUUGAACAAAAUGCUUAUUAUAGAAAAGUGAGCAGUUUUACACCACAGCAAACUACUAUAACAACAUUGUUUCUUUGUGUUGGCAGAUUGCUUUUAUUCAGAUUGUACUGACAGUUAUAUAUGAAUUAAUCAUGCGCUUGAUGAGUUUAUGUCUGGAAAAAAAUAUACCUGAAGGUUGGAGUGGUUGACAGAAAAUGGUGAACUAAAAAAUCCUGUGAUGAUGGCCAUCACUGUCUCCGUCACAUACUUCUCAAGGGCCAAAUCAGCAUGGUUCCGGUCUGUGGUGGUAUUACACACCUAGAUACACCAAGAAUAUUCUUUAAGUGGUAGUUUCUCUGAGCAUGCUGUAGAAGAAUUGUGACUUUAAAUCUGAGGCCUUACUCUGGACAUAUCAACCAGGAUGUUGUCGAACAGUUUCCAGAUGUGAUUGGAGGUAUAGAUCUCUUUCAUUUCCACCUCUGUGUCUACAUAGCAGUGAUUGACAAAGUUCACAUAUGCAGUUUUCACCUGUGGGGAAAAAAAAAGAAUUAAAAAAUGUAAGGCUAGAUACAAAUAUUUAAUAUUAAACAGGCGACUGUCACUCAAUUAAGUACAUUUUUUAGAGCAAUUAACGCAUGCGCACCAGAGCAAGCACGCCUCUCUGUUAUGAUGGCAGACAAAAGCACAGUGGAGCGUCCCCGCACAAUGUAACGCUCUUUUAGAACUUUAUUCUGACCUGAACACAUCAACAGCAGUACAAUUCCAACACCAUAUACUGUAUGUAUCUCCAACUCACACAUCUCUAGUCCAUUCAUCAGGGACAAUCCAAAAAUCACAAAAACGGCUUUGUGUAAAUAAACAAGAAGAUAAAGAAAAACAUGAAGUGGAUAUUCUUAUCAUGCACUUUGUUUGUAACGCUUACGAAGUGCGUGAUAAGAACACUUCGGAUGUGCAAUUUGCUACAUUUAAGAAUGCUGGAAAAUACACUGAAAACAAGUAUAUUUACCUUAAAUUACGUGAUGUCUGAACGCAACCCCAAUUCCUCAUAAUAACACGGUUUAUUAUGUGUGAAUCAAUCAAAUGUUCUGCUACUAUUAAAGAGACUAGUGUUAGACAAAUAUGUUUUUUUAGCCUUGUGUGGUAUCUUUUAGCUUGAUUGACAUAUUCAGAUCAUUUGGAGCUGUCCAUACAUACAAACAUAUAUAAUCCUGUCCUGUCAUUUAUCUGUUAAUUAAAUACAGCAAAAAUGGGCAUAUUUCAGACAUAGUUGCUAAUGGUGAUCAAUCAUAACUGAUGCAUUUAAAAACGGUGACUAAUCUGAUUACAUUUUUAAAUCAUUUGACAACCCUAAUCAAAAUAUAUUCUAAUGUCAUGUCCAGCUACAAGAUACGUUCACCAAAUAAAAAUCACUAACUCAGAAUUUGGCCAGGGUAAGAAUAAUGUAGGGAGUUUUUUUAAAGAAAUAAAUCAGGUUUCUAGAAUAAGGUCAGGUCAAUAAUAAACUACAAAAAAUGACACAAAAUCAGUGAGAAAACAAUGUCACAGCUUCAUCAAAGUGCAUGUGUAUAUAUAAAACAUUCGCAUGCUGACAAAAAAUGUUUGUUCGCAUAAUCCCCCAAAAAACGGUGAUCCGUGUUCUGCAUCAGGCAGACAAACAAAUAGGAAUGUGACGUAUCCUAAAGUGUCUGGUGGAAUUCAACAGUGUAUCCUUUACCUCUGGGAUGCAAUUGACAUCGGUGACAACUUUGACAAUAUCAUCCAGCGGAAGCAGAGAGUUACAUUUCAGUUCCGUGUAGACGUUUUUGCCCUCAGUGCAGGCAGCAAGCAGCUCGACAAGCGUGUUGUGAUAAGCCAGAGCUCCAUCCUCAUCCGUGCGCUCACGCUCAGAGCCCAUCAUCUGCAGCAGGACUGGAAACGAGGAGCGGUCAUUGUAGAACACCAGGACAUCCUCACCUCCGUUCACCAGCUGUAAAAAGAACAAUAAAGAUCAGGCUUUGACUGCACUUUCCUCUACCAUUAAUCUCGACCUGUACAUUUUGUAAGUGUAUUUCCAAUAUAAACAUUUGUAGUAACAAAUGUGAAUUAUUAAAAUGUACACAGCAAGAUUCUGCUUAACCAUCUGUUCAGCAAUAUACAUUUUGUAGGCAGUGUCCCAACAGAUGGUGCUGUUUUUCUUUGUUCACAAAAUAUCUAAAUACAGAUCAGUCAUUUAUAUAACAUUAGCUCUAUACAAGUCACCGGGAAAAUAUGGGACGUCAGGAAAAUAGUAUUAGCAGAUGGAUAGAUCUCUCACCUCUGUCAUGACUUUGUCCUGACAUUUCUUCACAUACUUCCCUUCAGCUUUCACAAUUGUUUGCAGGAACUUCAAGUACAGAACGUGGCGCCCAUGCGUUUCAAUGCAGUGGACAAAAUGAUGAACAACGCGGUCGCUGAUCUCAUUGCACAGCUGGUAGUAAUUCAUAAAGAUGUGACGCAUCGUUUCAGCUUCUAGCAACUGUUGAGAAACAAGAGGCAUGUUUCAGUCUAUUUAGAAAAGAUAGGGGAGUCACAUUAAUACAGGCCAUUAAAAAAGUAAUAAUCUUACAGUAUGUUAAUAUUUGGCCUCUAAGGAUAACUAACUGCGGUUACAUUGUACAGAUGAAAAAUAUUUGCUCUUCGAAGGCGUGCCUUCCUAAAAGUGACUCGUGUCAAUCGAGAUCAUACCCCCGGAGUGAGGAAGAGAUUGAGGUGUUUAUGGAGCAGAAAUUGGUUCUGAUGAUUCCCUCUGCAGAAGUUCUGCAGAAAUGUGUGU
This is a long non-coding RNA of Dunckerocampus dactyliophorus (ringed pipefish), 9399 nucleotides long. RefSeq lists it as uncharacterized. The record is from RefSeq and is a predicted model, not a curated record. Lineage: Eukaryota; Metazoa; Chordata; Actinopteri; Syngnathiformes; Syngnathidae. The transcript has 4 exons.